UGGGAAACUGGGGCUAAUACCGGAUAGGCAAUUUUUCCUGCAAUGGUUUUUUGUUUAAAUGUUUUUUCGCCUAAGGAUGAGUCUGCGGCCGAUUAGGUAGUUGGUUAGGUAAUGGCUUACCAAGCCGUUGAUCGGUACGGGUUGUGAGAGCAAGAGCCCGGAGAUGGAACCUGAGACAAGGUUCCAGGCCCUACGGGGUGCAGCAGGCGCGAAACCUCCGCAAUGUGAGAAAUCGCGACGGGGGGAUCCCAAGUGCCAUUCUUAACGGGAUGGCUUUUCAUUAGUGUAAAGAGCUUUUGGAAUAAGAGCUGGGCAAGACCGGUGCCAGCCGCCGCGGUAACACCGGCAGCUCUAGUGGUAACAAUUUUUAUUGGGCCUAAAGCGUCCGUAGCCGGUUUAAUAAGUCUCUGGUGAAAUCCUGUAGCUUAACUGUGGGAAUUGCUGGAGAUACUAUUAGACUUGAGACCGGGAGAGGUUAGAGGUACUCCCAGGGUAGAGGUGAAAUUCUGUAAUCCUGGGAGGACCGCCUGUUGCGAAGGCGUCUAACUGGAACGGUUCUGACGGUGAGGGACGAAAGUUAGGGGCGCGAACCGGAUUAGAUACCCGGGUAGUCCUAACUGUAAACGAUGCGGACUUGGUGUUGGGGUGGCUUUGAGCUGCUCCAGUGCCGAAGGGAAGCUGUUAAGUCCGCCGCCUGGGAAGUACGGUCGCAAGACUGAAACUUAA
RNAcentral lists this ribosomal RNA (726 nucleotides) under uncultured archaeon. Its description in RNAcentral is "bacterial SSU rRNA". It matches the Rfam family "Archaeal small subunit ribosomal RNA", at positions 133 to 859 of the family's 1478-position model. The record is from RNAcentral.